GACGAACGCUGGCGGCGUGCCUAAUACAUGCAAGUAGAACGCAGUGGGGACGGGUGAGUAACGCGUGGGUAACCUCCCAUCAGAGGGGAUAACACUUGGAAACAGGUGCUAAACCGAUACUGAUGGAUGGACCCGCGGUUAAUUAGCGAGUGGGUGGGGUAACGGCUCACAAAGGCCACGAUGCAUAGCGGCCCUGAGAGGGGGAUCGGCAACACUGGGACGGAGCCACGGCCCAGACUCCUACGGGAGGAAGCAGUAGGGAAUCUUCGGCAAUGGACGAAAGUCUGACCGAGCAACGCCGCGGGAGGGAAGAAGGUUUCCGGAUCGUAAAAUUCUGUUGUUAGAGAAGCGGUAUCUAACCAGAAAGCCACGGCUAACUACGUGCCAGCAGCCGCGGUAAUAC
Molecule: ribosomal RNA, 403 nt
Filed under: uncultured bacterium
Lineage: Bacteria
Description: partial 16S ribosomal RNA
Rfam family: Bacterial small subunit ribosomal RNA
Source: RNAcentral